RNAcentral lists this ribosomal RNA (473 nucleotides) under Porphyromonas sp. oral taxon C34. RNAcentral describes it as "bacterial SSU rRNA". It matches the Rfam family "Bacterial small subunit ribosomal RNA", at positions 28 to 494 of the family's 1533-position model. Lineage: Bacteria; Pseudomonadati; Bacteroidota; Bacteroidia; Bacteroidales; Porphyromonadaceae. The record is from RNAcentral.
GAUGAACGCUAGCGAUAGGCUUAACACAUGCAAGUCGAGGGGCAGCACAAGGUAGCUUGCUAUCUGGGUGGCGACCGGCGCACGGGUGCGUAACGCGUAUGCAACUUGCCCUAUACAGGAGGAUAACCCGUCGAAAGACGGACUAAUACUGCGUAUGCUCACAACUUGGCAUCAAGUAGUGAGGAAAGAAAUUCGGUAUAGGAUAGGCAUGCGUCCCAUUAGCUUGUUGGUGAGGUAACGGCUCACCAAGGCAACGAUGGGUAGGGGAACUGAGAGGUUUAUCCCCCACACUGGUACUGAGACACGGACCAGACUCCUACGGGAGGCAGCAGUGAGGAAUAUUGGUCAAUGGGCGAGAGCCUGAACCAGCCAAGUCGCGUGAAGGAUGACUGUCUUAUGGAUUGUAAACUUCUUUUAUACGGGAAUAACAAGAGUCACGUGUGACUCCCUGCAUGACCGUAUGAAUAAGCUCG